This 250-nucleotide unclassified non-coding RNA is filed under the name plant metagenome. RNAcentral's name for it is "partial contains small subunit ribosomal RNA, internal transcribed spacer 1, and 5.8S ribosomal RNA". The record is from RNAcentral.
GUAGGUGAACCUGCGGAAGGAUCAUUAACACGUUUUAUUAAACCAAAACGUACUAAAACUCUGUGAACGAGAUUUCCAAUAGAUCUUAUGAACUAUUGGGUCCAUAAAUCUCACCAUUUUUUUCAAUAUCACCAACCCCUAAAACUACCUAAUAUAUAUAUAUGUAAUUCCUUCGGGAAUUAUUAUAUAUGUAUUUUGUAUGUUUGUAACUAAAUUUUUUUUCAUUUCAUGCCUAAAAACAUGGAAGCAA